Non-coding RNA from Pelobates cultripes (western spadefoot toad), 562 nucleotides. The record is from the annotation of a GenBank genome assembly. Lineage: Eukaryota; Metazoa; Chordata; Amphibia; Anura; Pelobatidae.
CCCCAUUCUCCCCACGCACCCCCAGCCCCUGAAAAGAGGGGAAGGGAGGGGUUUUACAGUUCAUGGUUAUCACCCUCCUCUACGGUAAAUGUCCUAGAGGUAGAAGGGGUACAGUCUCUGUCUGCUGGCGGGGACAGGGGGUAUCCAAGAGAAGGAGGCGGCGGGGCUGAAUGGCACCAUAGUCUAUGCUGAUGGAGAUUGCGGCUCAGAACGAAGCGAACAUCAGCUGUGAACCUUAAUGCAUCCAGCAUUGGUAGAAGGUUUAGUAGUGCUGUGUCACUGGGAUCGCUGAACCAGGACUUUAUAGUAAUAGCAUUAUCUGGGUGACUUCUGUAUGCUCCAGGCAAGUUGUCCAGAAUAACCACGCUGGAGAGAUCACUGUGUACAACAGACAGAUCUUUGAUAUAACUGCCCAGUUCCAAUGUUAAGUGCUGUCUGUAAAAACGUCUUCUGAGUACUCCCCUAUUGUUAUCUAGUUUAUCGGCCACAGCAGAGCCAUAAAUCUCCAUGCUGGCUGUGAAUACUACCAGCUUGUACCACUGACUGACCACAUCCAGGAAGA